UACGUAGGGAGCGAGCGUUGUCCGGAAUUAUUGGGCGUAAAGAGCGUGUAGGCGGUUCGGUAAGUCUGUUGUGAAAACCCCGGGCUCAACCCUGGGCGUGCAAUGGAUACUGCCGGGCUAGAGGGUGGUAGAGGCAAGAGGAAUUCCGGGUGUAGCGGUGAAAUGCGCAGAUAUUCGGAGGAACACCAGUGGCGAAGGCGGCUUCCUGGGCCACACCUGACGCUGAGACGCGAAAGCUAGGGGAGCAAACAGG
This 253-nucleotide ribosomal RNA is filed under the name uncultured bacterium. RNAcentral's name for it is "partial 16S ribosomal RNA". It matches the Rfam family "Bacterial small subunit ribosomal RNA", at positions 524 to 776 of the family's 1533-position model. The record is from RNAcentral.